This 745-nucleotide ribosomal RNA is filed under the name uncultured soil bacterium. RNAcentral describes it as "bacterial SSU rRNA". It matches the Rfam family "Bacterial small subunit ribosomal RNA", at positions 32 to 772 of the family's 1533-position model. The record is from RNAcentral.
AACGCUGGCGGCAUGCUUUACACAUGCAAGUCGAACGGCAGCGCGGGGGCAACCCUGGCGGCGAGUGGCGAACGGGUGAGUAAUAUAUCGGAACGUACCCAAGAGUGGGGGAUAACGUAGCGAAAGUUACGCUAAUACCGCAUACGAUCUACGGAUGAAAGCAGGGGACCGCAAGGCCUUGUGCUCGUGGAGCGGCCGAUAUCUGAUUAGCUAGUUGGUAGGGUAAAGGCCUACCAAGGCAUCGAUCAGUAGCUGGUCUGAGAGGACGACCAGCCACACUGGGACUGAGACACGGCCCAGACUCCUACGGGAGGCAGCAGUGGGGAAUUUUGGACAAUGGGCGCAAGCCUGAUCCAGCAAUGCCGCGUGAGUGAAGAAGGCCUUCGGGUUGUAAAGCUCUUUUGUCAGGGAAGAAACGGGUUUGGCUAAUAUCCAGAUCUAAUGACGGUACCUGAAGAAUAAGCACCGGCUAACUACGUGCCAGCAGCCGCGGUAAUACGUAGGGUGCAAGCGUUAAUCGGAAUUACUGGGCGUAAAGCGUGCGCAGGCGGUUUUGUAAGUCUGUCGUGAAAUCCCCGGGCUCAACCUGGGAAUGGCGAUGGAGACUGCAAGGCUAGAGUUUGGCAGAGGGGGGUAGAAUUCCACGUGUAGCAGUGAAAUGCGUAGAGAUGUGGAGGAACACCGAUGGCGAAGGCAGCCCCCUGGGUCAAGACUGACGCUCAUGCACGAAAGCGUGGGGAGCAAA